RNAcentral lists this ribosomal RNA (195 nucleotides) under uncultured Rhodoferax sp. Its description in RNAcentral is "partial 16S ribosomal RNA". It matches the Rfam family "Bacterial small subunit ribosomal RNA", at positions 1190 to 1382 of the family's 1533-position model. The record is from RNAcentral. Lineage: Bacteria; Pseudomonadati; Pseudomonadota; Betaproteobacteria; Burkholderiales; Comamonadaceae.
CCCUCAUGGGCCCUUAUAGGUGGGCUACACACGUCAUAACAAGUGGCUGGUACAAAGGGUUGCCAACCCGCGAGGGGGAGCUAAUCCCAUAAAGCCAGUCGUAGUCCGGAUCGUAGUCUGCAACUCGACUACGUGAAGUCGGAAUCGCUAGUAAUCGUGGAUCAGAAUGUCACGGUGAAUACGUUCCCGGGUCUU